Molecule: ribosomal RNA, 505 nt
Filed under: uncultured bacterium
Lineage: Bacteria
Description: partial 16S ribosomal RNA
Rfam family: Bacterial small subunit ribosomal RNA
Source: RNAcentral
UUGAACGCUGGCGGUAUGCUUAACACAUGCAAGUCGAACGGCAGCAUGGUCUAGCUUGCUAGACUGAUGGCGAGUGGCGGACGGGUGAGUAACGCGUAGGAAUAUGCCUUGAAGAGUGGGACAACUUGGGGAAACUCAAGCUAAUACCGCAUGUACUCGAGAGAGUAAAGCUGGGGACCUUUAGGCCUGGCGCUUUAAGAUUAGCCUGCGUCCGAUUAGCUAGUUGGUAGGGUAAGGGCCUACCAAGGCGACGAUCGGUAGCUGGUCUGAGAGGAUGAUCAGCCACACUGGAACUGAGAGACGGACCAGACUCCUACGGGAGGCAGCAGUGGGGAAUAUUGGACAAUGGGGGGAACCCUGAUUCAGCAAUGCCGCGUGUGUGAAGAAGGCCUGAGGGUUGUAAAGCACUUUCAGUGGGGAGGAGGUUUGGAAGGUUAAGAGCUAUUCAAAUGGACGUUACCCACAGAAGAAGCACCGGCUAACUCCGUGCCAGCAGCCGCGGUAA